Molecule: long non-coding RNA, 413 nt
Filed under: Lonchura striata (white-rumped munia)
Lineage: Eukaryota; Metazoa; Chordata; Aves; Passeriformes; Estrildidae
Description: domestica (Bengalese finch) lncRNA (ENSLSDG00000011766.1)
Source: RNAcentral
AAAAAAGAAAAAAAAAAAAAAGCAGCCUGCCUGGCAUUAGAUUAAUAACAUUCUUUGUGAAUCCCACAGAUGCAACCAGCAAUUGGGAAGAACCCAGCACUCCUGUAUAUGGAUCACAGGAAUAUCUUCCACUGAUUUACACAAAAUAGAAAUGAAACCCCUGCUACUUCAGCAGCAGCCUAGGAGCCCAGGAUGAAACGGCGAUUCCUCCACAGAAUUUUUGCUUCAGUGCCAAACCUGCUGUUUCACAGGAGCUGAAAGUCCUCUCAAAUAAGAUUCAUCCCAGUUUUGUUCCUCUCUGAACGUCAGCGUGUUCUCAGAAUCACAGUCACAGAAUGUCCUAAGCUAGAAGGAACCCCCAAGGAUCAUCCAAGUCCAGUUCCUUCUCCUGUCCCUUUCAUUUAUCCCACUUA